AAAUUGGGGUUCCAAAGCACACUUGUUUACUGCCCACAUUUAUCUCUUUAGCUCUCCGGUUUGAAGCCAAUUAUUCCCUUCAAAUCUCCUAAAAGCAGUUGAGGAAUCAACUGGGCAAGUGGGAUCACAAGUGCAUACCUUUAAAGACUGGCUUUCCUUCACUGUGACUGAUGAGACACUAACCAAGCUGGGGGAUCAAACAAGGGAUGCUUCACCAAGAAUUCCACAUGAAUGGUUUACGAUGUUGGUGAAAUGUUCUCUAUGA
This 265-nucleotide long non-coding RNA is filed under the name Felis catus (domestic cat). Its description in RNAcentral is "lncRNA (ENSFCAG00000050233.1)". The record is from RNAcentral. Lineage: Eukaryota; Metazoa; Chordata; Mammalia; Carnivora; Felidae.